CAAAGGGAUUACCGGUGGCGGAUGNGCAUGCGGCGCAUUAGCUAGUCGGCGGGGUAACGGCCCACCGAGGCGACGAUGCGUAGGGGUUCUGAGAGGAAGGUCCCCCACACUGGUACUGAGACACGGACCAGACUCCUACGGGAGGCAGCAGUGAGGAAUAUUGGUCAAUGGGCGCGAGCCUGAACCAGCCAAGUCGCGUGAGGGAUGACGGUCCUACGGAUUGUAAACCUCUUUUGCCGGGGAGCAAGCGUGCGUUCGUGAACGCGCGUCGAGAGUACCCGGAGAAAAAGCAUCGGCUAACUCCGUGCCAGCAGCCGCGGUAAUACGGAGGAUGCGAGCGUUAUCCGGAUUUAUUGGGUUUAAAGGGUGCGUAGGCGGGAUGCCAAGUCAGCGGUAAAAAUGCGGUGCUCAACGCCGUCGAGCCGUUGAAACUGGCGUUCUUGAGUGGGCGAGAAGUAUGCGGAAUGCGUGGUGUAGCGGUGAAAUGCAUAGAUAUCACGCAGAACUCCGAUUGCGAAGGCAGCAUACCGGCGCCCUACUGACGCUGAGGCACGAAAGCGUGGGUAUCGAACAGGAUUAGAUACCCUGGUAGUCCACGCAGUAAACGAUGAAUGCUAACUGUCCGGCUCGAAUGAGCGCUGG
This 642-nucleotide ribosomal RNA is filed under the name uncultured bacterium. RNAcentral describes it as "bacterial SSU rRNA". It matches the Rfam family "Bacterial small subunit ribosomal RNA", at positions 202 to 842 of the family's 1533-position model. The record is from RNAcentral.